GAUGAACGCUGGCGGCGUGCCUAAUACAUGCAAGUCGAGCGAACAGACGAGGAGCUUGCUCCUCUGACGUUAGCGGCGGACGGGUGAGUAACACGUGGAUAACCUACCUAUAAGACUGGGAUAACUUCGGGAAACCGGAGCUAAUACCGGAUAAUAUAUUGAACCGCAUGGUUCAAUAGUGAAAGACGGUUUUGCUGUCACUUAUAGAUGGAUCCGCGCCGCAUUAGCUAGUUGGUAAGGUAACGGCUUACCAAGGCAACGAUGCGUAGCCGACCUGAGAGGGUGAUCGGCCACACUGGAACUGAGACACGGUCCAGACUCCUACGGGAGGCAGCAGUAGGGAACAUUCCGCAAUGGGCGAAAGACUGACGGAGCAACGCCGCGUGAGUGAUGAAGGUCUUCGGAUCGUAAAACUCUGUUAUUAGGGAAGAACAAAUGUGUAAGUAACUAUGCACGUCUUGACGGUACCUAAUCAGAAAGCCACGGCUAACUACGUG
Molecule: ribosomal RNA, 497 nt
Filed under: uncultured bacterium
Lineage: Bacteria
Description: partial 16S ribosomal RNA
Rfam family: Bacterial small subunit ribosomal RNA
Source: RNAcentral